Molecule: non-coding RNA, 2970 nt
Organism: Oncorhynchus mykiss (rainbow trout)
Lineage: Eukaryota; Metazoa; Chordata; Actinopteri; Salmoniformes; Salmonidae
Source: RefSeq, a predicted model, not a curated record
AACACACCUGAGGUAGUGAGGUCACCACCACGUGCACCGUCCAUUCUCACAUCGAGAUGAUUCAGCCACCACGGUAACCACGCGCUCCAGCCACUCACUCCCUCAGCUCAAGAAUACACCAACAUCCCGAACUGCAGGCAACAGGCGGGUGGAGAGAUCGGGGAGCCAGCUUGGAGAGCGGAGAGCGCACACCACCAGCGCAGUCGAGACUAAAACGGAAAUAACGAAUUAACUACCAAGGGGAUUGUCAUUUCCUUAACAUCCUUUCAAUCGUUAAUGACACAUCGUUAAAGGAGGCAAAACGAAAAACACAACAGAGAUUGAUUUAUUAUCCAUAGUUUACCGUUCCAGCGCGUGGAAAGAUGAAGACUAAAAACCUUGAGCAAAGCUUGUCUGAUUCCAGAGAAUUGGAUGGAUCGUAUGACCAGCUGACUGGUGUAACUUUGAGGGGCAAGGAGCUGAUCAAUGCUGCCUUGCCAAUCAGUGGGGCUCUGGCAAAGACCUCACCUCCAGUUUCACCUCUUGCCUGCUCACCAACGGUCGUCAAUGGGGAGACCCAAAUUAGAUGCAUCUAUUGAGCCAGCACUUGGAGACUUGCAAGAUGAUGUGAUGGAGUCCUGACUGACAGGCAGGCUUGAUACGGACGUCUCUGAGUGGAGGGAGACCUGGCACUCGGCAUAACAUUUUUACUAGACACAACUUUUACUUGUAUUGUCUUUUUUACUAUUGAAUUGAAUUGGUAUCUGUCAAUAUGGGGAGGGAGAAUCCCUGUGUAUUCUGCACCAGGAUCAGGGAACUCUUGUUGUAUACAGGACACCACACAAGAAAGUACAGAAUGACCACUCUGUUUGUCAAUGUAGCCCCAUUACCAGCAGACAAAAUGCAGAUAGGCACAGUAUCUGUAUCGGCUGUGAAUGACAAUGAAAGGUGCACAUUGUUAUAUUAGUAUAUCAGUAUCUAUGGUAUGAUGUCAAGUUUGGCUUCUGUCAUGGCCACCUGCAUUUCUAGAAGAUCAAGGCAAAAACCAAGGCCAAAUCAGCAGGUGCAGUUCCUUUUUAAACGCUGGCCUUCAUAGGCUGAAGGGAAUUUAACAUAGAACAGCAGGUCGAAUAAAAAGUAUGUCUUUACUCUUGUUUUGUGAAAAUGACAAUAGUUCAAUAUUUUUGCACUUCCUCUUUGUGGUCCAACACUGAUGAUGAGAUGUAACUCCACCUGGCUCCACCUUGGUUAGGCUGCCCUCUGUUGGUAUCAAUUGGACUGUACACGACAUUCACCAGUGCUGAAUUCCAAAUCAACCCCUGGCCAAGACCCUUGUUCCUAGUCAUUCCUGUAUAUUUGAGAGGAUUGGAUGGGAGUGUACAAAACGGCAACUUUUUCACCCAGCUAUUCAAAAGGCAAGAUGAAGAUAUUACCAUAUUGUUUAUAUCUAUCCAAUUAAUCCAAUCUACAGGAAUGCCCAAUUAGCAGACACUUAUUCAAAGCAAAGCGAUUUACAGUACAGGAGCAAGUUCAAAGUAUGUAUGUGUACUUGAUCCUUGUGAGAAUUAAACCAUGACCUUGGCAUUGUGUUCUUACCAACUGAGCCACACAUCAUUUGUGAAACCUUUGCCUUAAAAUCAUAUUUUCUUUAUUCAGAUGGAGCAGACUGAAUAGUAGAAAUGAACUGAGGUUAUGGUGGUGUGGCUAAACUGUAAUACUAAAUCUGAACCACCGCAUGUCACCAUAGUCUUAGUUUAGUGCAAUCAGAGUCAUACACAUCAGCUACACGUUGUGCUGGGUUCAUUUCCAGUCCUUCACUAACACACCAAAUUACACCAACCAGUUUCUCAUCAGGACUGUGAUGAGUUGCAUCAAGUGUGUUAGUGUAGGGCUGGAACAAAAGCAUACACACUGUAGCUACUUGGGACCAGGCUUGGUCCCCUAAAUAUAAGUAUAUUGUUAUUAUUAUUUAUUUUUUCAAUUUCACCUUGAUUUAACCAGGCAGCAGAGAUUUAAUAUCUGUUUCAGAUGGUUUCUCUCACUCCCACUGUCUCCGCUCUUCUCACUCCCUCUCUCUUUCUCCUGUUCCCCUUCCUCUGUCUCUCACUUCAAACCUCCUCUCGUGUUGCUGUACUCCUGUCCCCCUGACCUGCUCAAGUCCUGGAUUAAAAUCUACAGAUUCCAACCCGUUUUUUUGUUUGUAUCAGGCCUUAAAAGUAGACUCAGCGAUAUGAGAUAUACAGUAAAUUACUAUUAGCAAAUAGAAACAAACAAAGAAAGUGCAAAGUGAGAGAAUUUCCUCAGCAGUAGUUGUCAUGCAGCAAUCACAUUAGAGAAGUGUGAAGCGAUGUGUAUUUGCACAGAUGCUCUUUGUGGGUGCCUCAUAAUAUCUUUGGUUCACACUGUUGCUUGUGGUCACAUCCAGUGGUGUGGUGGAGGGUUAAUGCAUGUAGCCUAAACAGUGUUUACACAAAAAAAUUGACAUCUGUUGGCAAACAGAAGAUAGCCCUAUUUGGUAAAAGACCAAGUUCAUAUUAUGUCAAGAACAGCUCAACUAAGUAAAGAGAAAUGUCAGUCCAUCAUUACUUUAAGACACGAAGGUCAGUCAAUCUGGAAAAUGUCAAGAACUUUUAAAGUUUCUUCAAGUGCAGUCACAAAAACCAUCAAGCGCUAUGAGGAAACUAGGACUCAUGAGGACCGCGACAGGAAAGAAAGACCCAGAGUUACCUCUGCUGCAGAGGAUAAGUUCAUUAGAGUUACCAGCCUUGUUUAACUUGGGUCAAACAUUUUGUGUAGCCUUCCACAAGCUUCCCACAAUACGUUGGGUGAAUUUUGGCCCAUUCCUCCUGACAGAGCUGGUGUAACUAAGUCAGUUGAGUAUGCCUCAUUGCUAGCACAUGCUUUUUCAGUUCUGCCCACAGAUUGUCUAUAGGAUUUCAGGGCUUUCUGAUGGCCCCUCCAAUACCUAGACUUUGUUGUCCUUAUGCCAUU